Molecule: ribosomal RNA, 493 nt
Filed under: uncultured bacterium
Lineage: Bacteria
Description: partial 16S ribosomal RNA
Rfam family: Bacterial small subunit ribosomal RNA
Source: RNAcentral
AACGAACGCUGGCGGCAUGCUUUACACAUGCAAGUCGAACGGUAACAGGUUAAGCUGACGAGUGGCGAACGGGUGAGUAAUGCAUCGGAACGUGCCCGGUCGUGGGGGAUAACGCAGCGAAAGCUGCGCUAAUACCGCAUACGAUCUGAGGAUGAAAGCGGGGGACCGUAAGGCCUCGCGCGAUCGGAGCGGCCGAUGUCAGAUUAGGUAGUUGGUGGGGUAAAGGCUCACCAAGCCAACGAUCUGUAGCUGGUCUGAGAGGACGACCAGCCACACUGGGACUGAGACACGGCCCAGACUCCUACGGGAGGCAGCAGUGGGGAAUUUUGGACAAUGGGCGAAAGCCUGAUCCAGCAAUGCCACGUGCAGGAAGAAGGCCUUCGGGUUGUAAACUGCUUUUGUACGGAGCGAAAAGGUCUCCUCUAAUACAGGGGGCUCAUGACGGUACCGUAAGAAUAAGCACCGGCUAACUACGUGCCAGCCGCCGCCGUAA